UUGGCACAUGCGGUUGAAUUCUGGCUGAACCGCACCCGCAAAUCAAAUUUUCAAAUCACCAGAUCCGCACCCACCUUGCGGCGGGACAAACAGGGCGGGCCGCAGAUAAUGACUCAAAUUCCCAGCUCUAUUUGUAACCCUUAGAUCUGAGCACCUUCUGAGAGAAGAUCUUGAACUCCCCUUGUUUCUUUACUCUAUUAUGUACUUUUACUUAUCUAUUGCAAUAUUAUUUAGACCAUCGAAAUGUUUUCUAUGAAUAUGUUUGAGUAGUUCUACUGUUAGAGUUAGGGUUCUUCAAAGUAUACCUGAUGGUUUGCUAAUAUGUAUUGUUGUUAGGGUAACUAAAUUAGUUCUUUAUCUAGUUUUUCUUAUUGCAAAGCCUAGAAUAGAUCACCAUAAACUUAGAUGUUAAAGGAUUGAUUGGCGCAAAUUGACGCAAGCGAGAGAUUGGUCUAUUUCCUGAACGAAAAUUAGAUUAUCUAAUUAGCUAGGCACAUACGAGAGUUGGUGUAGGUGAUUAGAGAACAAAUCAAACCUAUUCACCAAAUCUUGUUUAGAAGUUGUGUCGAUCGACACUCCACAAUAGGUAUCGAUCGACACUCCCUGAUGAUUCACAUACGAGAGUUAGACUCCUAGAUCUGGCCAUUAGAUAAUUUCUACUUAUGAAAGUCAAUAGAAUAUAAUUCAA
This 688-nucleotide long non-coding RNA is filed under the name Brassica rapa (field mustard). Its description in RNAcentral is "long non-coding RNA (BRAP_LNC007656)". The record is from RNAcentral. Lineage: Eukaryota; Viridiplantae; Streptophyta; Magnoliopsida; Brassicales; Brassicaceae.